GUAGUCCACGCUGUAAACGAUGGGUGCUAGGUGUCGGGGGUAUCGACCCCUCCGGUGCCGCAGCUAACGCACUAAGCACCCCGCCUGGGGACUACGGCCGCAAGGCUAAAACUCAAAGGAAUUGACGGGGGCCCGCACAAGCAGCGGAGCGUGUGGUUUAAUUCGAUGCAACGCGAAGAACCUUACCCGGACUUGACGUGCAGGUGGUACCAAAGCGAAAGCGGCGGGACCCGCAAGGGAGCCUGUGCAGGUGCUGCACGGCUGUCGUCAGCUCGUGCCGUGAGGUGUUGGGUUAAG
This 297-nucleotide ribosomal RNA is filed under the name uncultured bacterium. Its description in RNAcentral is "partial 16S ribosomal RNA". It matches the Rfam family "Bacterial small subunit ribosomal RNA", at positions 790 to 1084 of the family's 1533-position model. The record is from RNAcentral.